UAUCAUUAAACCGGACAUGCAUCAUACUUGGUUGUGCAUCAUGCCAUGUCUAUGUGUUGGUUGUUUACUAUGUUGUGUGUUUCUUUUCCCGUGUUUGCUUCUUCGGGUUGGUUCCGUUAACGUCGCAUUUGUGAGGAUCUGUUCGUCUACGUUCGUUUGUCUUCUUCAUGGACUCAUUCUUCUUCCUUGCGGGAUCUCAGGCAAGAUGAUCAUACCCUCGAAAUCACUUCUAUCUUUGCUUGCUAGAUGCUCGCUCUUUUGCUAUGUCUAUGCUGCGAUACCUACCACUUGCUUAUCAUGCCAUCCAUAUUGUUGAACCAAGCCUCUAACCCACCUUGUCCUAGCAAACCGUUGUUUGGCUAUGUUACCGCUUUGCUCAGCCCCUCUUAUAGCGUUGUUAGUUGCAGGUGAAGAUUGAAGUUUGUUCCUUGUUGGAACAUGGAGAUGUUGUUUCUUGUUGGAACAUGUUACUUGUUGGGAUAUCACAAUAUAUCUUAUUUAAUUAAUGCAUCUAUAUACUUGGUAAAGGGUGGAAGGCUCGGCCUUAUGCCUGGUGUUUUGUUCCACUCUUGCCGCCCUAGUUUCCAUCAUAUUGGUGUUAUGUUCCCGGAUUUUGCGUUCCUUAUGCGGUUGGGCUAUAAUGGGAACCCCUUGACAAUUCGCCUUGAGUAAAACUCCUCCAACAAUGCCCAACAUUGGUUUUACCAUUCGCCACCUAGCCUCUUUUUCCCUUGGGUUUCGCGGACUCAAGGGUCAUCAUUAUUUUACCCCCGGGGCCAGUGCUCCUCUGAGUGUUGGUCCAACCUGUCAGCUGCCGGUGACCACCAGGGGCAACUCUGGGCUGGCCUACCCGUACCUAGGACAAUCUGAGUGUGCCCUAAGAAAGAGAUAUGUGCAGCUCCUAUCGGGAUUUGUCGGCACAUUCGGGCGGUGUUGCUGGUUUAGUUUUACCCUGUCGAAAUGUCUUGUUGUACCGGGAUAUCGAGUCUGAUCGGAACGUCUCGGGAGGAGGUCUAUUCCUUCGUUGACCGUGAGAGCUUGUGAUGGGCUAAGUUGGGACUCCCCUGCAGGGAUUUGAACUUUCGAAAGCCAUGCCCGCGGUUAUGGGCAUAUGGGAAUUUGUUAAUGUCCGGUUGUAGAUAACUUGAACCUUAACUUAAUUAAAAUGAAUCAACUGUGUGCGUAACCGUGAUGGUCUCUUCUCGGUGGAGUCCGGGAAGUGAACACGGUGUUGGAGUUAUGCUUGACGUAGGUUUCUAUAGGAUCACUUCUUGAUCAUACUUUUAUCGACCGUGCUUUGCCUUCUCUUCUCGCUCUCAUUUGCGUAUGUUAGCCACCAUAUAUGCUAGUCGCUUGCUGCAGCUCCACCUCAUACCUUUACCUUACCCAUAAGCUUAAAUAGUCUUGAUCGCGAGGGUGCGAGAUUGCUGAGUCCCUGUGGCUCACAGAUACUUCCAAACCAGCUUGCAGGUGCCGAUGAGUCCGUGCAGAUGACGCAACCCAGCUCAGGAGGAGCUCGAUGAAGAUCUUGUCCUUUGUGUUGUUUCGUUCUAUGUGAUCAGUAGUGGAGCCCAGUUGGGGUCGAUCGGGGACCUUUGUCGCAUUUGGGGUUCUUUUUUUAUUUUGGUUCCGUAGUCGGAUCUUGUUUGUAUCUGGAUGAUGUAAUGCUUUAUUCAUGUAAUUGUGUGAAGUGGCGAUUGUAAGCCAACUAUGUAUCUCUUUCCCUUAUGUAUUACAUGGGUUGUGUGAAGAUUACCUCUCUUGCGACAUUGCUUUCAAUGCG
RNAcentral lists this long non-coding RNA (1783 nucleotides) under Triticum aestivum (bread wheat). RNAcentral describes it as "long non-coding RNA (TAES_LNC010442)". The record is from RNAcentral. Lineage: Eukaryota; Viridiplantae; Streptophyta; Magnoliopsida; Poales; Poaceae.